RNAcentral lists this ribosomal RNA (274 nucleotides) under uncultured bacterium. Its description in RNAcentral is "partial 16S ribosomal RNA". It matches the Rfam family "Bacterial small subunit ribosomal RNA", at positions 523 to 796 of the family's 1533-position model. The record is from RNAcentral.
AUACAGAGGGUGCGAGCGUUAAUCGGAAUUACUGGGCGUAAAGCGCGCGUAGGCGGCUUAUUAAGUCAGAUGUGAAAUCCCCGGGCUCAACCUGGGAACUGCAUCUGAUACUGGUAAGCUAGAGCUUGGGAGAGGGAAGUAGAAUUUCAGGUGUAGCGGUGAAAUGCAUAGAGAUCUGAAGGAAUACCAGUGGCGAAGGCGACUUCCUGGCCUAAAACUGACGCUGAGGUGCGAAAGCGUGGGUAGCAAACGGGAUUAGAAACCCGGGUAGUCC